ACAGGCGGUGGAGCAUGUGGUUUAAUUCGAAGCAACGCGAAGAACCUUACCAGGCCUUGACAUGCAGAGAACUUUCCAGAGAUGGAUUGGUGCCUUCGGGAACGUCUGACACAGGUGCUGCAUGGCUGUCGUCAGCUCGUGUCGUGAGAUGUUGGGUUAAGUCCCGUAACGAGCGCAACCCUUGUCCUUAGUUACCAGCACGUUAUGGCGGGCACUCUAAGGAGACUGCCGGUGACAAACCGGAGGAAGGUGGGGAGUGACGUCAAGUCAUCAUGGCCCUUACGGCCUGGGCUACACACGUGCUACAAUGGUCGGUGCAAAGGGUUGCCAAGCCGCGAGGUGGAGCUAAUCCCAUAAAACCGAUCGUAGUCCGGAUCGCAGUCUGCAACUCGACUGCGUGAAGUCGGAAUCGCUAGUAAUCGUGAAUCAGAAUGUCACGGUGAAUACGUUCCCGGGCCUU
This 460-nucleotide ribosomal RNA is filed under the name uncultured Pseudomonas sp. RNAcentral describes it as "bacterial SSU rRNA". It matches the Rfam family "Bacterial small subunit ribosomal RNA", at positions 925 to 1382 of the family's 1533-position model. The record is from RNAcentral. Lineage: Bacteria; Pseudomonadati; Pseudomonadota; Gammaproteobacteria; Pseudomonadales; Pseudomonadaceae.